Serendipita vermifera MAFF 305830 is the source of this 84-nucleotide non-coding RNA. Lineage: Eukaryota; Fungi; Basidiomycota; Agaricomycetes; Sebacinales; Serendipitaceae. The record is from Rfam.
GCGCUGCUGCCAGAGUGGUCAUAGGGGUUUUCUGUAAAAAAACUGAUCUUUUGAUCGUUAAGGGUUCGAUUCCUUUGCAGCUCA